AUGAUCGCCUUGAAUACUAUCCUUUCCUUAGGAAUAGCAGGAAAGAUCAGAUCCAUGAAGACUAUGGGUCAGGGGUCAGGAUAUUUAGUUAAACCCGCCCCAGUCUUUAACCUGGGAAUAAAAUAUUUAAAAAAGAUCCUCCCGGAAAAGCUUGAACGUGUCGAGCAGAAGUCUUUCCAAAGCCAAGUAUGGUAUUUUCUAUCUUAUUUGUCAGCAAUUCAAGGAAUUGGAUUUCUUUCAUGCCUUACUUUCAAAGGUUGGGUUCUCUCUGGGCGGUUGAGCCCUAUCCUUUGCUCUAAGAGGGUUGGGCUGCUCAGUAGGGCUUGCCUUGACUGUAGACUUUACUUUACGAGCACUGCUCACAUACCAAAACCAUAUGAUGCCUCUCAGCGAGGGGACAUCAGGCUCUGA
Non-coding RNA from Vicia faba (fava bean), 411 nucleotides. The record is from the annotation of a GenBank genome assembly. NCBI's taxonomy places the organism in Eukaryota, Viridiplantae, Streptophyta, Magnoliopsida, Fabales, Fabaceae.